AGGUGUGAUCAUACCAGAACUAAUGCACCUGAUCCCAUCAGAACUCUGCAGAUAAGCGUGCUUGGGCACGAGUAGUACAAGGAUGGGUGACCACUUGGGAAGUCUUCGUGUUGCAUCUC
Molecule: ribosomal RNA, 119 nt
Filed under: Lupinus angustifolius (narrow-leaved blue lupine)
Lineage: Eukaryota; Viridiplantae; Streptophyta; Magnoliopsida; Fabales; Fabaceae
Source: RNAcentral